GCAAGUCGAACGGUCAAAAUGAAGGGUGCUUGCACCUUGAAAGACGAGUGGCGAACGGGUGAGUAACACGUAGGUACCUGCCCUAAAGUGGGGGACAACCUUUGGAAACGAAGGCUAAUACCGCAUAAUCCGGCAACGGAAAAGAAUGCUCUGCAUUCGCUUUAGGAUGGACCUGCGGUCUAUCAGCUUGUUGGUAAGGUAACGGCUUACCAAGGCUUCGACGGAUAGCCGGCCCGAGAGGGUGAGC
RNAcentral lists this ribosomal RNA (247 nucleotides) under uncultured bacterium. RNAcentral describes it as "partial 16S ribosomal RNA". It matches the Rfam family "Bacterial small subunit ribosomal RNA", at positions 57 to 305 of the family's 1533-position model. The record is from RNAcentral.